Molecule: ribosomal RNA, 394 nt
Filed under: uncultured bacterium
Lineage: Bacteria
Description: partial 16S ribosomal RNA
Rfam family: Bacterial small subunit ribosomal RNA
Source: RNAcentral
AUACGUAGGGAGCGAGCGUUGUCCGGAAUUACUGGGCGUAAAGGGUGCGUAGGUGGUUUCUUAAGUCAGAAGUGAAAGGCUACGGCUCAACCGUAGUAAGCUUUUGAAACUAAGAGACUUGAGUGCAGGAGAGGAGAGUAGAAUUCCUAGUGUAGCGGUUAAAUGCGUAGAUAUUAGGAGGAAUACCAGUUGCGAAGGCGGCUCUCUGGACUGUAACUGACACUGAGGCACGAAAGCGUGGGGAGCAAACAGGAUUAGAUACCCUGGUAGUCCACGCCGUAAACGAUGAGUACUAGCUGUCGGGGGUUACCCCCCUCGGUGGCGCAGCUAACGCAUUAAGUACUCCGCCUGGGAAGUACGCUCGCAAGAGUGAAACUCAAAUGAAUUGACGGGG